This 468-nucleotide ribosomal RNA is filed under the name Triticum aestivum (bread wheat). RNAcentral describes it as "partial small subunit ribosomal RNA". Lineage: Eukaryota; Viridiplantae; Streptophyta; Magnoliopsida; Poales; Poaceae. The record is from RNAcentral.
AUGUCUUCUUCAAGCUCCCGCGCCACCUCACAGAAGCAGAGCCCAGCACGCGUGGAAAUGCCGAGCUUUGUCUGUCCGCGGUGCCGGGCGGGCGUUUAUCGGAGGGUUUCUCACACAUCGAAGAACCAUAAUCAUCCAUUCUACGUGUGCGGCAAGAAUGGGGUGAAAUGUUUCAUUCUUUGGGUCAAUGCUCUGGCCAAGACUCUGAUGAAUGAACUGCAAGAAGAGCAUGAAAGAUGGUUGCCAAUGCUGCCACGAAUGAUAGUGGCCGCAGCAUGAGCUCCGGAAGAAGAGACGGAGGGUGAAGCACGAAAUGACAGAGAGCUAGCUAUUGAGAUUAGGAUGUUGAAGAAGAAGGUUAGGAAGAUUGAAGAUCAAGCAUAAAUACCCAUUUGCAAUUACUUUUGGCCAUUUAUAGGUAUGGUAAUCGCACUGGGUGUAAUGUUGAAAUUGUAUGGAAAGGCAUGA